CAUCAGGAGACCCUGGAGAAGGAGACCUUUCCGGCAGGAGGCAGUCACAGCCUGCCAGCCUCUGAUGAAGAGAGAGAGGCAACUCAAGCAACAGGCAUGCCAGCGCUUCCAAGUGUGUCACAGCCCGGAGAAGCCCUGCACGACAGGAAAUACGCCUUUUUUCCAAAGCACCGAGGUUUGGCUAGUGGGAGAAGUGCAGCUGCCGCAGAGCCAAAAGACAUACGAAAGCAUUGCACGG
This is a long non-coding RNA of Dromaius novaehollandiae (emu), 238 nucleotides long. RefSeq lists it as uncharacterized. Lineage: Eukaryota; Metazoa; Chordata; Aves; Casuariiformes; Dromaiidae. The record is from RefSeq and is a predicted model, not a curated record. The transcript is spliced from 3 exons.